AGAGUUUGAUCUUGGCUCAGGACGAACGCUGGCGGCGCGCCUAACACAUGCAAGUCGAACGGGCCCCGACGCAAGUCGGGGUCAGUGGCGGACGGGUGAGUAACACGUAAGCAAUCUACCCCUGGGUCCGGGAUAACCUGCCGAAAGGUGGGCUAAUACCGGAUACUUUUUCGGUCUCGCAUGAGGCCGAAAAGAAAGGUUUUUCGCCAAGGGAUGAGCUUGCGGCCUAUCAGCUAGUUGGCGGGGUAACGGCCCACCAAGGCUAUGACGGGUAGCUGGUCUGAGAGGACGAUCAGCCACACUGGAACUGAGACACGGUCCAGACUCCUACGGGAGGCAGCAGUGAGGAAUUUUCCGCAAUGGGCGAAAGCCUGACGGAGCGACGCCGUGUGGGUGAUGAAGGCCUUCGGGUCGUAAAACCCUGUCAGCGAAGAGGAUAUUGACAGUAUUCGCAGAGGAAGCCCCGGCUAACUACGUGCCAGCAGCCGCGGUAAUACGUAGGGGGCAAGCGUUGUCCGGAAUUAUUGGGCGUAAAGCGCAUGUAGGCGGUUCCGUAAGUCAGAUGUCAAAUCCCCGGGCUUAACCCGGGUCCGCAUCUGAUACUGCGGGGCUUGAGAGAUAUAGAGGAAAGCGGAACUACCGGUGUAGCGGUGAAAUGCGUAGAUAUCGGUAGGAACACCAGUGGCGAAGGCGGCUUUCUGGAUAUUUUCUGACGCUGAGAUGCGAAAGCAAGGGGAGCAAACGGGAUUAGAUACCCCGGUAGUCCUUGCCGUAAACUAUGGUCACUAGGUGUAGGAGGUAUCGACCCCUUCUGUGCCGGAGCUAACGCGUUAAGUGACCCGCCUGGGGAGUACGGCCGCAAGGCUAAAACUCAAAGGAAUUGACGGGGGCCCGCACAAGCGGUGGAGCAUGUGGUUUAAUUCGAUUCUACGCGAAGAACCUUACCUGGGCUUGAAAUUCAAGAAGUAUCCCGGUGGAAACACCGGGUGACCGUUGAACCGGUGUCUUGAAUAGGUGCUGCAUGGCUGUCGUCAGCUCGUGUCGUGAGAUGUUGGGUUAAGUCCCGCAACGAGCGCAACCCCUAUCACUAGUUGCCCCGCCUCUGGCGGGGAACUCUAGCGAGACUGCCCGUGAUAAAUGGGAGGAAGGCGGGGAUGACGUCAAGUCAGCAUGGCCCUUAUGUCCAGGGCUACACACGUGCUACAAUCCGCGCUACAAAGAGCAGCAAGCCGGCGACGGCGAGCAAAUCUCAAAAAAGCGCGGUCAAUUCGGAUUGCAGUCUGCAACUCGACUGCAUGAAGCCGGAAUCGCUAGUAACCGCAGAUGAGGUACGCUGCGGUGAAUACGUUCUCGGGCCUUGUACACACCGCCCGUCACACCAUGAGAGUCAGAUACACCCAAAGCAUCCCGCUUGCGGGGUUCUAAGGUGGAGCUGAUGAUUGGGGUGAAGUCGUAACAAGGUA
Molecule: ribosomal RNA, 1463 nt
Filed under: metagenome
Description: bacterial SSU rRNA
Rfam family: Bacterial small subunit ribosomal RNA
Source: RNAcentral